Molecule: ribosomal RNA, 497 nt
Filed under: uncultured bacterium
Lineage: Bacteria
Description: partial 16S ribosomal RNA
Rfam family: Bacterial small subunit ribosomal RNA
Source: RNAcentral
GAUGAACGCUGGCGGCGUGCCUAAUACAUGCAAGUCGAGCGAACAGACGAGGAGCUUGCUCCUCUGACGUUAGCGGCGGACGGGUGAGUAACACGUGGAUAACCUACCUAUAAGACUGGGAUAACUUCGGGAAACCGGAGCUAAUACCGGAUAAUAUAUUGAACCGCAUGGUUCAAUAGUGAAAGACGGUUUUGCUGUCACUUAUAGAUAGAUCCGCGCCGCAUUAGCUAGUUGGUAAGGUAACGGCUUACCAAGGCAACGAUGCGUAGCCGACCUGAGAGGGUGAUCGGCCACACUGGAACUGAGACACGGUCCAGACUCCUACGGGAGGCAGCAGUAGGGAAUCUUCCGCAAUGGACGAAAGCCUGACGGAGCAACGCCGCGUGAGUGAUGAAGGUCUUCGGAUCGUAAAACUCUGUUAUUAGGGAAGAACAAAUGUGUAAGUAACUAUGCACGUCUUGACGGUACCUAAUCAGAAAGCCACGGCUAACUACGUG